RNAcentral lists this ribosomal RNA (484 nucleotides) under uncultured bacterium. RNAcentral describes it as "partial 16S ribosomal RNA". It matches the Rfam family "Bacterial small subunit ribosomal RNA", at positions 30 to 507 of the family's 1533-position model. The record is from RNAcentral.
AUUGAACGCUGGCGGCAGGCCUAACACAUGCAAGUCGAGCGGAUGAAGGGAGCUUGCUCCUGGAUUCAGCGGCGGACGGGUGAGUAAUGCCUAGGAAUCUGCCUGGUAGUGGGGGAUAACGUCCGGAAACGGGCGCUAAUACCGCAUACGUCCUGAGGGAGAAAGUGGGGGAUCUUCGGACCUCACGCUAUCAGAUGAGCCUAGGUCGGAUUAGCUAGUUGGUGGGGUAAAGGCCUACCAAGGCGACGAUCCGUAACUGGUCUGAGUGGAUGAUCAGUCACACUGGAACUGAGACACGGUCCAGACUCCUACGGGAGGCAGCAGUGGGGAAUAUUGGACAAUGGGCGAAAGCCUGAUCCAGCCAUGCCGCGUGUGUGAAGAAGGUCUUCGGAUUGUAAAGCACUUUAAGUUGGGAGGAAGGGCAGUAAGUUAAUACCUGGCUGUUUUGACGUUACCAACAGAAUAAGCACCGGCUAACUUCGUG